AACGAACGCUGGCGGCAUGCCUAACACAUGCAAGUCGAACGAGACCUUCGGGUCUAGUGGCGCACGGGUGCGUAACGCGGGGGAACCUGCCCUUAGGUUCGGAAUAACUCCCCGAAAGGGGUGCUAAUACCGGAUAAUGUCUUCGAACCGAAGAUUUAACGCCCUUGGUUGGGCCGGAGUUGGUUUGAAUAGCUGGUAGGGUAAAAGCCUACCAAGGCGACGAUCCAUAGCUGGUCAGUGAGGAUGAUCAGCCACACUGGGACUGAGACACGGCCCAGACUCCUACGGGAUGGAGCAGUGGGGAAUAGUGGAAAAUGGGCUAAAGCCUGAUCCAGCAAUGCCGCGUGAGUGAUGAAGUCCUUAGGGUUGUAAAGCGCUAUUACCCGGGAUGAUAAUGACAGUACCGGGAGAAUAAGCCCCGGCUAACUCCGUG
This 433-nucleotide ribosomal RNA is filed under the name uncultured bacterium. RNAcentral describes it as "partial 16S ribosomal RNA". It matches the Rfam family "Bacterial small subunit ribosomal RNA", at positions 29 to 507 of the family's 1533-position model. The record is from RNAcentral.